CAACCAUUAUAAAUAAAAUUGUUGAUGCUUGAGACUGUCUCAAACUAAAACCCCAAGACUUCGUAUACUUGUUUAUAUAAGCAGGACAUUGUGGACACGUGAUUGCUGGGAGUAUUACAAGUUAGCACCUGUUAUUAGAGUUAUUUUGCUUAGCAGAUAAAAAUCAUGUAGUAUUGUGCUUAUAUAUUGUAUAGUCAUGAAAAUGGAUGAAGAUUAAUUACAUAACUAUAGCAAGUGAACUAAUUUGGAUCAGUGGGAAAGCAAGAAGAAUAUAAAGCUUUUACUCUCUUAAUAAUGUUUGCACUCAUUCAAUGUAGUUGCAGUCUGCCAAUUUGCCUGUUUAACUUGAGGGUUUUAUAAGUUAGGAUGAAGUGCUAGCUUAAUUUAUCCUGUCCUUCCAGUCUGUAAAGUAAAUUGGUUAGGGAUAGUUAAGCAAAAUUUUUAUAUAAAAAAUAUAAGUAAGUUGAAUCAAUCAACAUAAAGGUCAAAUUACUAUGGAUCUUAUUCAGACUUACGACCUUAAAAUUUUAUCCUUGAUGCAUUUAGAUAACUUGAAUGCCUAAAAUUUAAGAUGAUUUACUUCUUGUGUAAAUUGAAGCAUCCAAUUAUUUAGUAUCCAUUUUGGCUCUCUUAAGUGUUAAUUAUGCUAAUUAUUUGCAGUUACAAAUUACAAUACAGAAAAGUUAACUGGUACUGUUGAUGUGAUGAGCUCGAUUUCAUCAUUAGGGGACACUUUUGCCAUGCUGAAUGAUGUUGACGUUUACUUGAACAGACCUUCUAUGGCUGGUGGAGUUUGGUUUUAGAAUCCAAUUCUAGAAAGACAGGAGCUACUUUUUCUAUGUUUAAAGUCCAGCCCGAGGAAAAUGAAUUUCAGACUUGUCUUAAUGCCUAUUUUGGUCCAAUUUCGGAGCAAGAGAAGGUACCACCCAUGAAUUGGAAGAACUCAAUAGAACUAUAGGGGAUCUUUGCAUUAGAGCUUACAACUUAUGGAUAUUAUGGCUAUCUGAUGAACUUUCUGCCAUUGUCUCACGAGAUCUCAAACAGGAUGAUGCUUUAUGUUUGAGUACACCCUGGAGGGGCUGGGAGGAUACCAUAGUCAAGCAAGAUCAGUCUGAUGAGAACCAAUCAGAUAUGAGAAGAAGAAGAAGAAGAAGGCUAUUGCUAUUUUUUAAGGCCUUCAGGCAUAUCUAUCUAGCGUGGAAGCAUGUUAUGACAUUUCCUUUUUUUUCUCUCUUUUAGGUGAUUAUUUUUUAUGUGAGAACUAGCUCAGGAACACAAUUAUCUAAUAUAUUAUUCUU
Molecule: non-coding RNA, 1298 nt
Organism: Arachis ipaensis
Lineage: Eukaryota; Viridiplantae; Streptophyta; Magnoliopsida; Fabales; Fabaceae
Source: RefSeq, a predicted model, not a curated record